GAUGAACGCUGGCGGCGUGCCUAAUACAUGCAAGUCGAGCGAACGGACGAGAAGCUUGCUUCUCUGAUGUUAGCGGCGGACGGGUGAGUAACACGUGGAUAACCUACCUAUAAGACUGGGAUAACUUCGGGAAACCGGAGCUAAUACCGGAUAAUAUUUUGAACCGCAUGGUUCAAAAGUGAAAGACGGUCUUGCUGUCACUUAUAGAUGGAUCCGCGCUGCAUUAGCUAGUUGGUAAGGUAACGGCUUACCAAGGCAACGAUGCAUAGCCGACCUGAGAGGGUGAUCGGCCACACUAGAACUGAGACACGGUCCAGGCUCCUACGGGAGGCAGCAGUAGGGAAUCUGCCGCAAUGGGCGAAAACAUGGCGGAGCAACGCCGCGUGAGUGAUGAAGGUCUUCGGAUCGUAAAACUCUGUUAUUAGGGAAGAACAUAUGUGUAAGUAACUGUGCACAUCUUGACGGUACCUAAUCAGAAAGCCACGGCUAACUACGUG
Molecule: ribosomal RNA, 497 nt
Filed under: uncultured bacterium
Lineage: Bacteria
Description: partial 16S ribosomal RNA
Rfam family: Bacterial small subunit ribosomal RNA
Source: RNAcentral